CCUACGGGCGGCUGCAGUGGGGAAUAUUGCACAAUGGGCGCAAGCCUGAUGCAGCCAUGCCGCGUGUGUGAAGAAGGCCUUCGGGUUGUAAAGCACUUUCAGCGGGGAGGAAGGCGUUAAGGUUAAUAACCUUGUCGAUUGACGUUACCCGCAGAAGAAGCACCGGCUAACUCCGUGCCAGCAGCCGCGGUAAUACGGAGGGUGCAAGCGUUAAUCGGAAUUACUGGGCGUAAAGCGCACGCAGGCGGUCUGUCAAGUCGGAUGUGAAAUCCCCGGGCUCAACCUGGGAACUGCAUUCGAAACGGGCAGGCUAGAGUCUUGUAGAGGGGGGUAGAAUUCCAGGUGUAGCGGUGAAAUGCGUAGAGAUCUGGAGGAAUACCGGUGGCGAAGGCGGCCCCCUGGACAAAGACUGACACUCAGGUGCGAAAGCGUGGGGAGCAAACAGGAUUAGAUACCCGUGUAGUC
This 465-nucleotide ribosomal RNA is filed under the name uncultured Klebsiella sp. RNAcentral describes it as "bacterial SSU rRNA". It matches the Rfam family "Bacterial small subunit ribosomal RNA", at positions 338 to 795 of the family's 1533-position model. The record is from RNAcentral. Lineage: Bacteria; Pseudomonadati; Pseudomonadota; Gammaproteobacteria; Enterobacterales; Enterobacteriaceae.